This is a long non-coding RNA of Symphalangus syndactylus (siamang), 1929 nucleotides long. RefSeq lists it as uncharacterized. Lineage: Eukaryota; Metazoa; Chordata; Mammalia; Primates; Hylobatidae. The record is from RefSeq and is a predicted model, not a curated record.
AUAUUCAGUAAGAAUAAAAGGAAACAGUAGCCAACACUCCCCUGUGAUUGAGCCAUCUCACUGAGAAAAGUCUGAGUAUACUUUAUUGAAAACUACUUCUGAUUAAGACUGAGUAACAAAGAACAAAUAGCCCUCUCAGCUGAAGCAAACAAAAUAAUAUGAACAAAAUUAGAUAAAACAAUGGUCUUGAAGACACUGAACAUCAGGCAAUUAAGGGCAGUGAGCUAAGAGAGACAGAAAAAAAAGUGAGUUCAACAGUUGGCCUAUUUUGAGAAGAUUUUUCAGCCUGUGGCAUAGAGAAGAGGAAUCAAGAAGAGACUAGUGAACUCCUUGAGUUGAGGAGAUGGAGUAAGAGUCGUGGAAGACCAAGAGGGUUAUGUCACAGGAGAGAAUAUAAGAGAGGAAACUGUUGCAUAGGUUCACUCACCCUGGAGAAAGCCAGCUGCGUAAGGACACUUAGGCAACUCAGUGGAGAGGACUAUGAGAUGCAGUAUCUUAAUAAUUUCACUUGAAACUGAAAGCCAAGACUUUGCUGUGUGAGGAAGUUUCUGAGUAAGACAUCAAGUUUCCAGCCAUCAGAGGAUAAUUUAUUGAUACUUGUCAAAAGGAAGUAUCAGUCUAACAGAAAUCAAGACAAAAGGAAUGCCUGAUGAAUUUUCUUUGAAGUGCCUUUUAUAAAAGUCCUUGGUAAUACAUAUUGAUGAACUCCAAAUUGUCUCGCCUGAAGGGAAAAGAAAGUAGACUGCUUUACACUGUCUUAUAAAUAUUCAUCAAAAGAACAAGACUUAUGUUUCCAGGCGUGAGGUGAAUGAUUACGGUUGUAUGAUUGCCUUGGAAUCUGGAUAAUUAGUAAAACAGCCGUUGACAGAGAAUUUUAAACUUGGUACAUUUCUUGCCUUCACUUUAUUUGGAGUCAGAAAUAAAGCUUCCUAUACCUAAGGGAAGCAGUUUUAAGGGAUGAAGAAUUGAUAUUAUCAAGUUCUAGCCAUGGGUUGGUUUACUAUCUUUUUAGCUCAAACCUAAAACAAAAAUAAUUGGUUUUAUUUUUAUUUAUUUGUUAUUUGGUAAUUCAUUUUUGGUCUAAUGAAACAGUACCACUCUUAGAAAGGAUGAUUUGUUAGGAUAUGUGUCUUAAGACCUGAAGACUGUAAAAUGAUAGGAUGAAUCCAUCUAAAUGGUCAGACAGAAUAGUUUUGUGUGACUGUUUUUAGUAUGGUAUUAUUGUUGUCAUUUUGCUUAUUCAUUUUGGACUGAGAAAUUAACUUUGUGUUUCUUUUGCUUAUUGAAUCCAUGUGAUUAAAGAUCCAGCUUGAUUAAAUGGACAUGGAAUUUUUGAUGUUUGGAAGAUAAGUAUUGUUCAUACCAAAAAUCAGAAAUUAUCUAUCAUUGCGUAACUAGUUGCACAUUUCUCCUAACCCUUGUUUUAUAAGUCAUCCUCUAAACUGUUGGGAGGAAAAUAAUCCCUUCUCUGGAAAUUUUAUCCUUUACAGUGUUUAGCACUUAAAUACAAUUAAGCAAACAUCAUAUCCUCUUUGAAGCAAAAUAGUUGCUCAGCUUAAGUAACUGAAACUAAGUAUCUCUGUUGAAUGAAAGACAUAUUCGGCAAGUGUUUGAAGAAUGCUUCCUUCACGUUGAGCAGAAAUUAGCACUUAUAUUGGCGUUACAGGCAGAGGAGCACUCAACAUGCUGUAUCUAUCAGUUCAUACCCAUAUGUAGAUCUACAAGUAAGAAAGAGGAAGUGAAAUUGACAUGUGUCUGGGAGUAAAAUGUGAUAAAACAGAAUUAAUUUUUAAAUAAGAGAAAGACAGGUUGAACAAAUGAUUCUCCUAGAAAAUGUUUAGGUGUUAUCUAAAAACUGUCCACUUACUGCAAGGGAAAUUUUACUGCUUCAAACACUUUGGCCAGAAACAUGCAGAAUUUUAAUACCCA